This 588-nucleotide unclassified non-coding RNA is filed under the name Hevea brasiliensis (rubber tree). Lineage: Eukaryota; Viridiplantae; Streptophyta; Magnoliopsida; Malpighiales; Euphorbiaceae. The record is from RNAcentral.
GAGAAGCAUUAGACUUGUUGAAAAUGAUAUCAUUAAUUGAUUAUGAAUUGAGUUAUGAUUCAAGAGUUAGAACCACACAACACGUUCAUAAUUCAUAAUUAUUUUAUAUACAUUUUUUUGAAAAAAUAUUUUUUACUAAAAUAGUGACCAUAAACUAUAAAUUUUAUUAAAAAAUAUUAUAUAUGAAAAUUGUUAAGUAAGAUGGAAUUUAGUUGAGUUAGAAAAUAAGUCCCAAAUUUAUCACCUUUUAGAAGUCUUGCAACUUAUGGAAAAUAAUAUCAUUUGCUUAUAAAUAUUAGGAUUUUUCUUGUCUAGACUCGAUUUACUGUAGACCUAAAAUACAAGAUAUAUGAUGAAACUCACUUAUUAAAUACAUGGGUCCCACAUGAUUGUGUCUUAGAUCCAUGAUUGAUAGAGUCUAGGUAAGAAUUUCUCUGAACAUAGAUGAGAGAAGUAAUAGAUUUAUAGUAGAAAUUGAUAGCAUUAAUUGAUUAUGAAUUGACUUAUGACUUAUUAGAUUUAGAACCAAACAACACGGUUGAUAAUUCACAAUUAUUUUAUGUACAAUUUUUAAAAAAAAUAAUUUUU